GAGGUCUUACCUUAAUUAAAGUGUUUGGGUUGCAUUCAUGAGAUGUAUAUUACAAUUAUACAGGCCUUC
Molecule: transfer RNA, 69 nt
Filed under: Bavayia septuiclavis
Lineage: Eukaryota; Metazoa; Chordata; Lepidosauria; Squamata; Diplodactylidae
Description: tRNA-Ala
Source: RNAcentral